AAGUCGUAACAAGGUCUCCGUUGGUGAACCAGCGGAGGGAUCAUUACUGAGUUAUUAAAACUCCAAACCCUUUGUGAACCUUACUGUCGUUGCCUCGGCGUGAGCUACGGCUACCCUGUAGUUACCCUAUAGCUACCCUGCAGCUACCCUAUAGUUGACCAGUAGCUACCCUGUAGUUACCCUAUAGCUACCCUGCAGCUACCCUAUAGUUGACAUGUAGCUACCCUGUAGCCGACUUAUGGCCCGCCGAAGGACCGCUAAACUCUUGUUUUUUACCACUGUUUCUCUGAAUUGUAAACUUAAAUAAGUUAAAACUUUCAACAACGGAUCUCUUGGUUCUG
RNAcentral lists this unclassified non-coding RNA (341 nucleotides) under Hypoxylon investiens. RNAcentral's name for it is "partial internal transcribed spacer region". The stretch from base 1 to 46 matches the Rfam family "Eukaryotic small subunit ribosomal RNA", at positions 1786 to 1831 of the family's 1831-position model. The record is from RNAcentral. Lineage: Eukaryota; Fungi; Ascomycota; Sordariomycetes; Xylariales; Hypoxylaceae.